RNAcentral lists this unclassified non-coding RNA (273 nucleotides) under uncultured Hypocreales. RNAcentral describes it as "sequence contains 5.8S rRNA gene, ITS2, 28S rRNA gene". The stretch from base 1 to 52 matches the Rfam family "5.8S ribosomal RNA", at positions 103 to 154 of the family's 154-position model. The record is from RNAcentral. Lineage: Eukaryota; Fungi; Ascomycota; Sordariomycetes; Hypocreales.
AACGCACAUUGCGCCCGCCAGUAUUCUGGCGGGCAUGCCUGUCCGAGCGUCAUUUCAACCCUCAGGCCCCUCCGGGGGCUUGGUGUUGGAGACCGGCGACCCGCUCCCCCCGGGGGGGCGGCGCCGCCUCCCAAAUCCAGUGGCGGUCUCGCCGCAGCCUUCCUUGCGCAGUAGCAUCUUAUUUCGCACGGGAGAGCGGCGCGGCCACGCCGUAAAACACCCCACUUACGAACGGUUGACCUCGGAUCAGGUAGGACUACCCGCUGAACUUAA